Long non-coding RNA from Oncorhynchus gorbuscha (pink salmon), 1240 nucleotides. RefSeq lists it as uncharacterized. The transcript has 3 exons. The record is from RefSeq and is a predicted model, not a curated record. Lineage: Eukaryota; Metazoa; Chordata; Actinopteri; Salmoniformes; Salmonidae.
UUGUUAAAUUACGAGCCUAGUUGGUUUUAGCCACAGAAAAAGGGAGCAACCUUCCCGCUAGCCAUGAUUGGCUGAGAUAAUGAGUGGGCUGGAACAUGCCGAGAGAUGAGUUUGGAUUGGUCUGCAGGUGUGGCAUAUUGUGUCUAUAAAAUGAGCUGCUCGUUAUGCGUAGAUAAUCCUUUCUACUGUAGUUUUUUCUAAAGAUAUAACGUAAAUAAAACGUCAGCCAUGGAGAACUGCAAAUAUGUUACUUCUGCUCUCAAUAACAUUUAAUUUAUCAGGCGCUAUCGGCAAAGGUCAGUGGGGAAAAUGAUGUGAUGGACGACGAUCGUGCCAUACAAUGCUGACUCUCUCUCUCUCUCACUCUGGAAAAUAACACGUUUUUUAAAUCAGUGGAGCGCAACGCAGGAUGUCUGAUGAAAGGGGUUGCAGUCUGCCGUGAAGCGUUCAUCCACGUAUACAGCAUCAAUCAGCAGAACACUCCUGACUCUAAUACACCAGUCAUACAGUCAUCAAAAAGAGAGCUGGCCCAAGCAAGCUAGCAGGUAGCAGCGCAGUCAUCAACAUGCACCAUUUCUUCACCAACUACGGAGUUGGGGAAAACACGUGUGGACCUGAAUUGUGAUAACUGCUGCGGCCAAAACAAGAACAAGUUUCUGGUCUGUUAUUAUGCCAGGCGGACCGACCAUGCACAAGCUCCACCAGUCUGGACCUUCACUUCCUGAUCACAGGCCACAACAAGUUUGCCCCUGACUGGUGCUUCGGCCUCAACGAGCAGCGCUUCAGAAAGACCAGAGUGAACACUUUGUCUGAGAUUGCUGGUGUUGUGAAGGACAUCACUGUGACAGGGGUCAACAUCCUACAGCUGGUUGGACUGGAGGAUGGUACGGUGGAAAGCUUUGGGAGGCAACAACACCUGACUCCGUACUUCAGGCUGCUGGCACGGAUCAAGCAGUACCAGUACUUCAGCUUCGAUGCUCUGGAGCCUGAUGUUGUCGCUAAGGAACGUUCGGACUGUCCUUCCUCCUGGUCUGCCUGUACCACCUGGACUGGACAAAGCGAGACAAACUAUGUUUUUGAGAAGAUCAGGGAUUUUGUGACGAGUCAUCUGCGAUGAACGUAGUACCUUCAGGCGUUUGGAAGUCACUCCAAAGGAUGAACCAGACCUCCAAUUGACUGAAAAUAUGUCAAUUAGCCUAUCAGAAGCUUCUAAAGCCAUGACAUCAUUUUCUGGAAUGUU